Molecule: ribosomal RNA, 253 nt
Filed under: uncultured bacterium
Lineage: Bacteria
Description: partial 16S ribosomal RNA
Rfam family: Bacterial small subunit ribosomal RNA
Source: RNAcentral
UACGUAGGGUGCAAGCGUUGUCCGGAAUUAUUGGGCGUAAAGAGCUCGUAGGCGGUCUGUCGCGUCGGAUGUGAAAAUCCAGGGCUCAACCCUGGACCUGCAUUCGAUACGGGCAGACUAGAGUUCGGUAGGGGAGACUGGAAUUCCUGGUGUAGCGGUGAAAUGCGCAGAUAUCAGGAGGAACACCGGUGGCGAAGGCGGGUCUCUGGGCCGAAACUGACGCUGAGGAGCGAAAGCGUGGGGAGCAAACAGU